This 266-nucleotide ribosomal RNA is filed under the name uncultured bacterium. Its description in RNAcentral is "partial 16S ribosomal RNA". It matches the Rfam family "Bacterial small subunit ribosomal RNA", at positions 793 to 1055 of the family's 1533-position model. The record is from RNAcentral.
GUCCACGCCGUAAACGAUGGAAGCUAGCCGUUGGUGGGUUUACCCUUCAGUGGCGCAGCUAACGCAUUAAGCUUCCCGCCUUGGGAGUACGGUCGCAAGAUUAAAACUCAAAGGAAUUGACGGGGGCCCGCACAAGCGGUGGAGCAUGUGGUUCAAUUCGAAGCAACGCGAAGAACCUUACCAGCCCUUGACAUCCCGAUCGCGGAGAGCAGAGACGCACUCCUUCAGUUCGGCUGGAUCGGAGACAGGUGCUGCAUGGCUGUCGU